CAGCGCCACGAGUGGCAACCGCGAUUAUUGGGCCUAAAGCGUCCGUAGCCGGUUUGGUAAAUCUUUUGUGAAAUUGUACAGCUCAACUGUACAGCGUGCAAGAGACACUGCCAAACUCGAGACCGGGAGGAGUCAGAAGUAUUCCAGGGGGAGCGGUAAAAUGCUAUAAUCCCUGGAGGACUACCUGUGGCGAAGGCGUCUGACCAGAACGGAUCUGACGGUGAGGGACGAAAGCCAGGGGAGCGAACCGGAUUAGAUACCCGGGUAGUCC
This 271-nucleotide ribosomal RNA is filed under the name uncultured archaeon. RNAcentral's name for it is "partial 16S ribosomal RNA". It matches the Rfam family "Archaeal small subunit ribosomal RNA", at positions 477 to 747 of the family's 1478-position model. The record is from RNAcentral.